AUUCUAUGAGACGGAGUAAUGGCAUCAUCUAGAAAAGGGAUAGGAAUUGCAUGGCGAUCAAUCUUCUGUACAUGUCAGAAAUUUACACAGACCACAGAGUUCUUCCUCUAAAAUGACAGAUUAUUAUUGAAAGCUUCCCCAUAUAUCCUGAAACACAACACUGUUUUUAACCAAAAUAUACCCCGCGAGCAACAUACUUUGAUUUUGUGUGAACACUCCUAACAUGGCCGCCAAUAAACCCACGAGUAGCUCAGUACUGCUAAUAACAGUCGCCCACGAGCUACAUUUGUAUACUACUUCUCACAUUACAGUAUAUCACGACCGGUACAAAUCAUAAAUUAAGAAAGUAACUUCUUGUCAAAGCAUUGUCCUGAGAAACCUGAUAAUUCCUAGGUCAUCUGUCCUAAGUCCUAACUGUCAUUUGUUAGAUCUAGCUUGUAUGUGACUUUUGUUUUAGUACAAAAAAAUCCAAUGACAUACGCAGAUACGUACGCCACAUGAAUUGGACUUGGCAGCUCUCAUGCGAAAACAACAUAUCUUGGAAUCAAUCCAUCGAACCGUAAUUUGCUACAAGAUUCAUGCACCUGUCCCCUUAUCUCUCCCCUUCUCCCAUGCCGUGACCCCCCUUGUCUUAAAUUUAUCCCCGCCGCCACCAGUGCUUCCACGCCCCUUCAACCAAAUUGCCAGUUCCAUACCAUCGCCUUGCUUCUUCCAUCAGAGCAGGUUAGGUGUUGGGACUAGGCGCCUGCAUAACAAAAAAGCGAGAACAAUCAGAUGCACUUCUCUACGUCUACGUCUAGCAGUAAUCUACUCUGAUGGUUCAAACAGAAAGAUGCACUUAAAACUUCAGGGGAACAUGGAUAAAUUGUUCAGGAUUCACAUCGACUGAAUAUCAGCAAAGGAAGUAUUACAUCUUCCUCUGGAACACGCACAUAACUGCGUGUAAUUUUGUACCAGAAAAUGGCGUCAAAUAAUGCAGGCCUUUCAAUAAAAAACAGCUGGUAAAGAAACCUGAAAAACUAAGCUAGGAAGAAACCAAAACCAAAACCAAGACACAAACACAAACCAAACAUUCAAAAAGAAAAAGAACAGCCAUAUCCAGCUAUGCAUAUGAAGUGAAACAUGAGCACACCAUAUCUUUUGAGCAGAAAUGAGCACACCAUAUCCUUCAACGGAUAUGAUUUGCAAGGCACCACCAAAAUAUCGAGCAAAAAGGGCGAAUGGCAAUAAGACCUUAACCAUAUCCUGCUUGUUGGCAAAGAUAGGGAGGCAGUUGGCAUUCCACUACCUUCAUCCCUGACCUCCAUUAGCAAAGCAUUGAAGGUCAAAUAAUUAAAUCACCGGUCCACCACCUGGGAUGUAUUCAAUGAGAACAUGUUGGCUCUCUGCAUCAAGUGAUGCACACAGCCAUCAUGAUUCCUCAUGUUGAUUGUUUAAUAUUAAAACUAGACCAAAACAGGUCUCAGUCCACAAAAUCUAGCACUCUGCUGACAUUACAAAGCAUGUACUCCCUCUGCCCAGGUAUAUUGAGCCGGCUAGCCAAAACUCGAGGACCAAGGAAGGAUAUUACUGGUAACCACCCAUGAUUUUCGAGCAUAGCAGCAGCCAAUCAGAUUAACUCAUAAUUAUUUCAGAGCAUUGCAGCAGCCGGCUUCGCUUUUGCAUGCAGCCAACCACCGCAUACGUCCACACAUGCGUUCAACGGAGGGGAUUAUCGAGGGGAAGUAAACACCCACGUCCAGUGGGGCCUUAAAAACACAGACGUGGCUGGCUUGCUAAGUGACCCGAUAAACCUGGACGGAGGGGGUACCACAUAGAAGGACUGAUAUCAAGAACUUUGAUUCUGCAUCUACUUUUAGUAACAGCGAGCAAAUGUUGUUGGGAUGUAGCAAGAAACUAAACUGACAGAGAACUCAUAAAUUGGAUUCCCUCACAGCCAUGGAGAUCUACGUGAGUGAAGUUGCCCAGCAACAAUACAUGGACAAGCUGAAAUGCUAACACACACUCAAGAUCAAAAUACCAAUGGCAAAAUCUCCCGUAAACAUGGUAAUAUGGACACAGAAGAAAGACGAUUGAAAUAUAUGCAGAUUAUAAACACAAUAUGAGUGCAAACAUUCCAUAUAAACAAUUCAAUGUCAAAUGUAAAAUCCAUACAGAACUCGAGCCUGUCAAAUGUACUGUAGAAUCCAAGCAGGCUCCUAGUAUGUGCUGCCAUGGGGCUUCACCUAAACAUUCAAGAUUCAUAAAGAAACCUUCAAGGGGGCUCCCUCCAUUCACAAAUACAAGAUGUUCGAACUUUUUUCAGAAUCAGAUGUAUAUAGAAUAUAGAGACACGUUUUAGCGUCUGUUCACUCAUUUCCAUAAUUCCAUAUCGAAAUAUCCAAAACAUUAUAUUUGUGAAAGUUGGGAGUACCUACUAAAUAUAGCAUGGUAACAAGACUUCAACUAAUCACAUCACUAAAUGUACUCCAGCAAAUGAUCAUGUGAGUGUUCGCAUGUGCAUAUCCAGAUCAUGUGCUAUCCCCCUACAGCAAGUUGUUUAAACAAUCACCUAGCCAUCAGUGGAAACAUGGCAAUAUGUGGUACAACCAAAUGAAAAGACACCAUAUAAAAGCACAAGAUUAUCCCAUAGCAUUAGUCCAUUUGCAAUUAGACUACUGCAGCACAAUGUUUUCCAAAUUUCAACAACUAUUCAAUGAUCACGUCCAAGCAUGUCAAAACAUAAAUCUCCUACCACAUACAAGUUAUGGUAAGUUAUCUCAAAAAAAUAAAAAUAAAACCAUAAAUCUCAUCAAUAGCUUAUGUUAUGUCAAGCACAACUAAAGUGACGAUAUUUGGUGUCCACCCACAUCCACACCAUCACGUGAGGGCAUGUGGGAUCUCCAAACUGGUGGAGUAACCUCCAGCUCAUGGAAGUUCAUAACCAAGGUCUCCAACCUUUAAAUGCAUAUAUGCAACAAUAUGCAUUUAUUUCCUCAUAAGUGUGAAUCAUAACCCCAUAUAUUCCAUAAACACGAGCAAGAAUUUCGAGCAUAAUAAGAACGAUUCAGUAACCAUAUUCAACAAGAAAAAAACUUCUCAAGACUCAUGAGCAACAUAUACCAUGAAGAACAAGGAGCGCAACAUACACAAACAUCCAAUGGUAUCAAUGGUGACGUGCAUACAUUGAGUACCAAUAUGCAUGUACCUGCCUCAACCAGAGUGCAAGGUGCAGUUGUAGCAGCUCCGAGAUAUUCCAUAAACAUGAGCAAGAAUUUCGAGCAUAAUAAGAAUGAUUCAGUAGCCAUAUUCGACAAAAAAAAAAAAAAUCUCAAGAGUCAUGAGCAAAGAACAAGGAGCGCAACAUACACAAACAUCCAAUGGUAUCAAUGGUGACGUGCAUCCAUUGACUACCAGUAUGCAUGCGCCUGACUCAACCAGAGUGCAAGGUGGCUGUAGCAGCUCCGACAUAUUCCAUAAACACGAGCAAGAAUUUCGAGCAUAAUAAGAAUGAUUCAGUAGCCAUAUUCGACAAAAAAAAAACUUCUCAAGACUCAUGAGCAACAUAUGCAAUGAAGAACAAGGAGCGCAACAUACACAAACAUCCAAUGGUAUAAAUGGUGACGCACAUCCAUUGACUACCAAUAUGCAUGUAUCUGCCUCAACCAGAGUGCACGGUGCAGUUGUAGCAGCUCCAACCCAACUUGCCUCUAACGCUC
RNAcentral lists this long non-coding RNA (3698 nucleotides) under Hordeum vulgare. Its description in RNAcentral is "long non-coding RNA (HVUL_LNC010581)". The record is from RNAcentral. Lineage: Eukaryota; Viridiplantae; Streptophyta; Magnoliopsida; Poales; Poaceae.